GAUGCAUCUACAAUAUGAGAGACGGGGGAGAAGGGAAGUGAGCUAUUAGCGAAAUCAGAGCACAGAGCAGCACAUCAUCAAUCACACACACACACACACGCACACACAUAUGCACCUGUAUUACACACAAGCACACACACACACACGCACACACACAUCGGCUGACAGUUGGCAGCAUAUCGAAUUUCAAAUGCGCACAGCAUAAGGCACGGCAGCAGGAGCAGCAUUCGACGAUAUUACCAAUGCCGCCCCGUUCCGCAUUUGACAUCAACGGGUCGUCAUCAUCAACAAUCGUGUUGGUCGAGAGCGACUGUGUCACCCAGUGUAUAACGCCCAGGGUGCGUGCCACCCGACAAAUUGAAACAAAUCAAAUUCCUUUUUGGUGAUAUCAGAGCAAAGUUGACACAAAAUUUAAGAGGUACUUUCUAUACAAUUGAAUAUCUGAUAUAAGCUUUGAUAAUUUUAUUCAACACAGGUUGCUUAAAAUAAAAGUUGCCUGUCUAUAAAAAAAUAAUGUCUCAAUAAAAUACUGUAUCUGAUAUA
Non-coding RNA from Drosophila virilis, 543 nucleotides. NCBI's taxonomy places the organism in Eukaryota, Metazoa, Arthropoda, Insecta, Diptera, Drosophilidae. The record is from RefSeq and is a predicted model, not a curated record.